This 441-nucleotide unclassified non-coding RNA is filed under the name Hevea brasiliensis (rubber tree). The record is from RNAcentral. Lineage: Eukaryota; Viridiplantae; Streptophyta; Magnoliopsida; Malpighiales; Euphorbiaceae.
UAAAGCAGCAGUUACUGGAGAUACGUAAGUCUUGACAUUGUCUGAUGUUGUUUUACAAUUGGAGGUAACUGGCACUAACAGAAUCUAAAAUGGAAUUUUGAAUAAGAGAAAUUAGAAUUAGAAUGGCAAUUGCCUCUGAAGAGAAUGAUGGUUCUUUAGUAUGUGCAAGGGCUAGGGUGAUUGAAGAUGUAAGCAUCUCUUUCUGCACCUAUGCAUGGUUAUCAACUGUUACUGAAGGAAAAGAUGCUGAGUGUCCCUAGUCUAUUUUUUGGAUGAAUCCUCUCUUUCUAUAUGAUAGGAGGCAUUAUUCCUUCCAACCAUGUCAGAUGUCCUAUUGCUAAUUAGUCACUAUUUCUAACUUGUUAAGUAAUGAGCUUUUGUUUCAAGGAAGGGGAAAUCCCUAGAAGGGCUGCAAUAAUCUUGUCAACCCUGUCAAAUAUA